GGUGAAGAAACCUGCGUAUGUGUUUUGACGACACCAUUAGUUUCCAAAACACACAUGUACCAUGAGUGAGGACACUGUGGGACACAGAAAAGGUGAUUUGCCAGGCAGGUGGAUUAUUAUGGGCUGGCCCCUGUGGACUCCUCCUCUCCAUGUAUAUCAGUGUUAAAUGGAAGAAUUCAGCUGGCUGCCUGCACUGAUUGGGCCUGACACACACUUUGGGCAUUUUGCCUGCCAUUGGUUUUGGGUCCCUAAACAGGCUCACAGGGAACCUGGAGUCUAUCCUGGGUGACUCGGGGCACAAGGCAGGGGACACCCUGGAUGGGGUGCCAACUCAUCACAGGGCACAGUCUCUGACACUACAGACAAUUUAGAUCAGCCCACAACACAUCUUUGAACUGGGAAGGAAACCAGAGUACCUGGAGGAAACCUUCUGAAGUACAGGGAGAACAUAAAAACUAGAAACACAGACAGGAACCAAACCUCCAACAGGUGUGAGGCAAACUACUAAUUAAGGCUUUUCGUUCGCUAUUAAUUGUUUUGUGUUACACAACAACACUCAAUUCUCAAAUCUGAUUGGCCAGAAGGUGUGGACUAAAUUUUCUUUAUAUCAGCACAGCUCAGCACGGGCAGCCAGCAGUAAUUCAAAUCUAAUGUGUCUAAUGUGUUAUCCUUUCUCAUUUGCAUCAUGUAAUCUAA
Long non-coding RNA from Hemibagrus wyckioides, 696 nucleotides. RefSeq lists it as uncharacterized. The transcript is spliced from 3 exons. The record is from RefSeq and is a predicted model, not a curated record. NCBI's taxonomy places the organism in Eukaryota, Metazoa, Chordata, Actinopteri, Siluriformes, Bagridae.